RNAcentral lists this ribosomal RNA (250 nucleotides) under uncultured prokaryote. Its description in RNAcentral is "partial 16S ribosomal RNA". It matches the Rfam family "Bacterial small subunit ribosomal RNA", at positions 524 to 774 of the family's 1533-position model. The record is from RNAcentral.
UACGUAGGUGGCGAGCGUUGUCCGGAAUUAUUGGGCGUAAAGGGAGCGCAGGCGGGAAGGCAAGUCAGUCUUAAAAGUGCGGGGCUCAACCCCGUGAUGGGAUUGAAACUGUCUUUCUUGAGUGCAGGAGAGGAAAGCGGAAUUCCUAGUGUAGCGGUGAAAUGCGUAGAUAUUAGGAGGAACACCAGUGGCGAAGGCGGCUUUCUGGACUGUAACUGACGCUGAGGCUCGAAAGCGUGGGGAGCGAACA